CCUACGGGGGACUGCAGUGGGGAAUCUUGGGCAAUGGAGGAAACUCUGACCCAGCAACGCCGCGUGAAUGAUGAAGGUCUUCGGAUUGUAAAGUUCUUUUCUACGGGAAGAAGAAAGUGACGGUACCUUAGGAAUAAGCCUCGGCUAACUACGUGCCAGCAGCCGCGGUAAUACGUAGGGGGCAAGCGUUAUCCGGAAUGACUGGGCGUAAAGGGUGCGUAGGUGGUUUGAUAAGUUGGUAGCGUAACUCCGGGGCUCAACCUCGGCACUACAACCGAAACUGUCGGACUUGAGUGCAGGAGGGGAAACUGGAAUUCCUAGUGUAGCGGUGGAAUGCGUAGAUAUUAGGAGGAACACCAGUGGCGAAGGCGAGUUGCUGGACUGUAACUGACACUGAGGCACGAAAGCGUGGGGAGCGAACAGGAUUAGAUACCCUAGUAGUC
RNAcentral lists this ribosomal RNA (443 nucleotides) under uncultured bacterium. RNAcentral's name for it is "partial 16S ribosomal RNA". It matches the Rfam family "Bacterial small subunit ribosomal RNA", at positions 338 to 795 of the family's 1533-position model. The record is from RNAcentral.